RNAcentral lists this ribosomal RNA (253 nucleotides) under uncultured bacterium. RNAcentral describes it as "partial 16S ribosomal RNA". It matches the Rfam family "Bacterial small subunit ribosomal RNA", at positions 524 to 776 of the family's 1533-position model. The record is from RNAcentral.
GACAGAGGGUGCAAACGUUGUUCGGAUUUACUGGGCGUAAAGCGCGUGUAGGCGGCUUGGCAAGUCGGAUGUGAAAGCCCACGGCUCAACCGUGGAAGCGCAUCCGAAACGGCCUCGCUCGAGUCUCGGAGAGGAAGGUGGAAUGCUUGGUGUAGAGGUGAAAUUCGUAGAUAUCAAGCAGAACACCUGCGGCGAAGGCGGCCUUCUGGACGAUGACUGACGCUGAGACGCGAAAGCGUGGGGGGCAAACAGG